This is a small nuclear RNA of Tursiops truncatus (common bottlenose dolphin), 89 nucleotides long. Lineage: Eukaryota; Metazoa; Chordata; Mammalia; Artiodactyla; Delphinidae. The record is from Ensembl.
AUGUUGUAUGAAAGGAGAGAAGGUUAGCAGUCCCCUUGACAAGGAUGGAAGAGGCCCUCGGACCUGACAAUAUGUAUUCAGAAAAUUAG